RNAcentral lists this ribosomal RNA (470 nucleotides) under uncultured Smithella sp. RNAcentral's name for it is "bacterial SSU rRNA". It matches the Rfam family "Bacterial small subunit ribosomal RNA", at positions 916 to 1381 of the family's 1533-position model. Lineage: Bacteria; Pseudomonadati; Thermodesulfobacteriota; Syntrophia; Syntrophales; Smithellaceae. The record is from RNAcentral.
GACGGGGCCCGCACAAGCGGUGAGUAUGUGGUUUAAUUCGACGCAACGCGCAGAACCUUACCUAGACUUGACAUCCCGGGAUUUCUGGAAACAGAGAAGUGCUUUAGCAAUAAAGAACCCGGUGACAGGUGCUGCAUGGCUGUCGUCAGCUCGUGUCGUGAGAUGUUGGGUUAAGUCCCGCAACGAGCGCAACCCUCGCCGUUAGUUGCCAUCAUUCAGUUGGGCACUCUAGCGAGACUGCCGGUAAUAAACCGGAGGAAGGUGGGAUGACGUCAAAUCAUCAUGCCCCUUAUGACCUGGGCUACACACGUGCUACAAUGGUUGGUACAACGAGUUGCGAGUCGGUGACGGCGAGCUAAUCUCUUAAAGCCAAUCUCAGUUCGGAUUGUAGGCUGCAACUCGCCUACAUGAAGUCGGAAUCGCUAGUAAUCGCGGAUCAGCACGCCGCGGUGAAUACGUUCCCGGGCCUU